This 227-nucleotide long non-coding RNA is filed under the name Brassica napus (rape). Its description in RNAcentral is "long non-coding RNA (BNAP_LNC023914)". The record is from RNAcentral. Lineage: Eukaryota; Viridiplantae; Streptophyta; Magnoliopsida; Brassicales; Brassicaceae.
GACAGCCACGGACUGUAACGCCCGAAUCUGGCCUCUCGACAAGACUAGACCCGUUUGCUACUUAAUCAAUUUCUUUGCUCGUUUCAUUCAUUUUAAGUCUUUCAUUUACUAAGUCAUGUUUGAAUCGGAGGUUCUAAAAUAAUGGAACAGAUAGCACAGCGGAAUAUAAUGUAUAAACAAAUGUAUUACUUAGAAACAUGAGAUCCAAUACACAACUUCUUAACAGU